CCGGCUGUGAGAAGGCUGAGGAGGAGCCUCGGGCGGGCGAGCAGGGAAAAUUCCGAGAAGCCCUUUAUUAUGAGCUGGGCAUACAUACACCUUCCCUGUCUUCUGUGUUUGCCAACUUUCCUUGCCUGGAGUCUUCCUCAUGCAUGACUUCAUACAGUUGAAAUGAUGAAGCUCAGAGCCACACUGAAAGCCACACUGAUGAAGCGACCACCAGCCUGGACGUGUGACUGACUGAAGACUUCUUCUGGACUCAGAUAUGUGCAUGACUUUUGUGUCUGAUCAUUAUAUUGUGGGUUUACGUAUUACUCUAAUUCAUAUAUGUUCCCAAUAUAUUGUCUAACCUUCUAUGUAGUAACUGUGGUGGUUUGAAUAUCUUCCAUAACCUCUGAGUACUUAGUCCCCAGUUGGUGCUGUUUGGGGAGGCUUAGGAAGAAUGUCACUGGGGGUGGGCUUUGUGAGUUCAAAGACUCCCACCAUUGACAGUCCGCUCUCUGCUCCCUGCCUGUGGUCCAAGCCAUGAGCUCUCUGCUGUUGCUCCAGUUGCCAAGCCUGCCUGCUGCCUUGUGUCCUCACCAUGCUGAUGAUGGACUCUUAUCUCUCUGGCAUCAUAAGCCCCAAAUACACCCUUCUUUCUAUAAGUUGCCCUGGUCACGGUGCUUUGCACAGGAAUAGAAAAGGAAUUCAUUCAGCAAUGGAUCACUUCCCUGAAGCCAACCACAGUGCCUGUGUGCAAAUAAGAAACCAGAGUGCUAAAGUUCACCAGGAAAGAGAAGGGAGCAGUCACCUGCACAGCUCUGCCAUUGACAUCGGCUCCGACGGACGCGGCCGUAGCAAUUGUAUUGGGCACCGCUGCUGUGCAUGUUUCGCUGGUGUGCAGGUACGACAUGGGUAUUUUCAAUUCACGGCUGGCCACCUACGAGAAAGGACGUAGUUCAAAUCCAAUAAAGAAUUCUAGAAAACUUAA
This 964-nucleotide small RNA is filed under the name Rattus norvegicus (Norway rat). Its description in RNAcentral is "uncharacterized LOC103690538". Lineage: Eukaryota; Metazoa; Chordata; Mammalia; Rodentia; Muridae. The record is from RNAcentral.